RNAcentral lists this ribosomal RNA (627 nucleotides) under Pseudomonas fulva. RNAcentral's name for it is "bacterial SSU rRNA". It matches the Rfam family "Bacterial small subunit ribosomal RNA", at positions 81 to 703 of the family's 1533-position model. The record is from RNAcentral. Lineage: Bacteria; Pseudomonadati; Pseudomonadota; Gammaproteobacteria; Pseudomonadales; Pseudomonadaceae.
UGCUCCCUGAUUCAGCGGCGGACGGGUGAGUAAUGCCUAGGAAUCUGCCUAUUACUGGGGGACAACGCUUUCGAAAGGAACGCUAAUACCGCAUACGUCCUACGGGAGAAAGCAGGGGACCUUCGGGCCUUGCGCUAAUAGAUGAGCCUACGUCGGAUUAUCUAGUUGGUGAGGUAAUGGCUCACCAAGGCGACGAUCCGUAACUGGUCUGAGAGGAUGAUCACUCACACUGGAACUGAGACACGGUCCAGACUCCUACGGGAGGCAGCAGUGGGGAAUAUUGGACAAUGGGCGAAAGCCUGAUCCAGCCAUGCCGCGUGUGUGAAGAAGGUCUUCGGAUUGUAAAGCACUUUAUGUUGGGAGGAAGGGUUGUAGAUUAAUACUCUGCAAUUUUGACGUUACCGACAGAAUAAUCACCGGCUAACUCUGUGCCAGCAGCCGCGGUAAUACAGAGGGUGCAAGCGUUAAUCGGAAUUACUGGGCGUAAAGCGCGCGUAGGUGCUUUGUUAAGUUGGAUGUGAAAGCCCCGGGCUCAACCUGGGAACUGCAUCCAAAACUGGCCAGCUAUACUACGGUAGAAGGUGGUGUAAUUUCCUGUGUAGCGAUGAACUGCAGUAGAAUUUUAAA